ACGUAGGAGGCGAGCGUUAUCCGGAUUUACUGGGCGUAAAGAGCGCGCAGGCGGUCGUUCAAGUCGCGUGUGAAAGCCCCCGGCUCAACUGGGGAGGGUCACGCGAUACUGAUCGACUCGAAGGCAGGAGAGGGUAGUGGAAUUCCCGGUGUAGCGGUGAAAUGCGUAGAUAUCGGAAGGAACAUCAGUGGCGAAAGCGACUUCCUGGACCAAUACUGACGCUCAUGUGCGAAAGCGUGGGGAGCAAACAGGA
Molecule: ribosomal RNA, 253 nt
Filed under: uncultured prokaryote
Description: partial 16S ribosomal RNA
Rfam family: Bacterial small subunit ribosomal RNA
Source: RNAcentral